Molecule: ribosomal RNA, 291 nt
Filed under: Triticum aestivum (bread wheat)
Lineage: Eukaryota; Viridiplantae; Streptophyta; Magnoliopsida; Poales; Poaceae
Description: partial small subunit ribosomal RNA
Source: RNAcentral
AUGCCAAAGGAAAAUAUUGGGCCAGUUGAAAUUCUAAAGUUUUUGAAGCGGCAUGAUUGUUUCCCCAAUGCAUGUAUUGCAUAUAGAGUUCUGUUGACUAUCCCUGUGACUGUUGCUUCGGCAGAACGGAGCUUUUCUAAAUUGAAGCUAUUGAAGUCCUAUAUGUGCACUACCAUGACCCAACAAAGGCUCACCGAUUUGGCCACAAUAGCACUGGAGAGUAAUCUAUUGGACAAGAUUGAUUAUGAUGAUAUUAUUGAGGAUUUUAUUACAAAGAACACAAAAGAAUGA